RNAcentral lists this ribosomal RNA (843 nucleotides) under uncultured bacterium. RNAcentral describes it as "bacterial SSU rRNA". It matches the Rfam family "Bacterial small subunit ribosomal RNA", at positions 26 to 898 of the family's 1533-position model. The record is from RNAcentral.
AGAAUCAACGCUGGCGGCGUGCCUAACACAUGCAAGUCGAACGAGAAAGAGGGAGCAAUCCCUUGAGUAAAGUGGCGACCGGGUGAGUAACACGUGACUAACCUACCCUCGAGUGUGGAAUAACAUCGGGAAACCGAUGCUAAUACCGCAUAACAUCGCAAGAUCAAAGGAGCAAUCCGCUUGAGGAGGGGGUCGCAGCUGAUUAGCUAGUUGGCGGGGUAAUGGCCCACCAAGGCAAUGAUCGGUAGCCGGCCUGAGAGGGCGCACGGCCACACUGGAACUGAAACACGGUCCAGACUCCUACGGGAGGCAGCAGUGGGGAAUUUUGCGCAAUGGGGGAAACCCUGACGCAGCAACGCCGCGUGGAGGAUGAAGCCCCUUGGGGCGUAAACUCCUUUCGACCGGGACGAUUAUGACGGUACCGGUGGAAGAAGCCCCGGCUAACUUCGUGCCAGCAGCCGCGGUAAUACGAGGGGGGCAAGCGUUGUUCGGAAUUAUUGGGCGUAAAGGGCGCGUAGGCGGUGCGGUAGGUCACCUGUGAAAUCUCCGGGCUUAACUCGGAGUCUGCAGGCGAAACUGCCGUGCUGGAGUAUGGGAGAGGUGCGUGGAAUUCCCGGUGUAGCGGUGAAAUGCGUAGAUAUCGGGAGGAACACCUGUGGCGAAAGCGGCGCACUGGACCAUAACUGACGCUGAGGCGCGAAAGCUAGGGGAGCAAACAGGAUUAGAUACCCUGGUAGUCCUAGCCCUAAACGAUGGAUGCUUGGUGUGAUCGGUACCCAAUCCGAUUGUGCCGAAGCUAACGCGAUAAGCAUCCCGCCUGGGGAGUACGGUCGCAAGGCUGAA